AUUGAACGCUUGCGACAUGCCUUACACAUGCCAGUCGAACGGCAGCAUAUGAGCUUGCUCCUGAUGGCGAGUGGCGAACGGGUGAGUAAUAUAUCGGAACGUGCCCUAGAGUGGGGGAUAACUAGUCGAAAGAUUCGCUACUACCGCAUACGAUCUACGGAAGAAAGUGGGGGAUCGCGAGACCUCAUGCUCCUGGAGCCGCCGAUAUCUGAUUAGCUAGUUGGUGGGGUAAACGCGUACCAAGGCGACGAUCAGUAGCUGGUCUGAGAGGACGAGCAGCCACACUGGGACUGGGACACGGCCCAGACUCCUGCGGGAGGCAGCAGUGGGGAAUUUUGGACAAUGGGGGCAACCCUGAUCCAGCAAUGCCGCGUGAGUGAAGAAGGCCUUCGGGGUGUAAAGCUGUUUGGUCAGGGAAGAAACGGUUUUGGAUAAUACCCAGAGCUAAUGACGGUACCUGAAGAAUAAGCACCGGCUAACUACGUGCCAGCAGCCGCCGUAA
Molecule: ribosomal RNA, 502 nt
Filed under: uncultured bacterium
Lineage: Bacteria
Description: partial 16S ribosomal RNA
Rfam family: Bacterial small subunit ribosomal RNA
Source: RNAcentral